Molecule: ribosomal RNA, 375 nt
Filed under: uncultured organism
Description: partial 16S ribosomal RNA
Rfam family: Bacterial small subunit ribosomal RNA
Source: RNAcentral
GGAGGUUUGCAAGCGUUGUUCGGAAUUACUGGGCGUAAAGGGAGCGCAGGCGGCCAGGUCAGUCUAAAGUGGAAUCCCGGGGCUCAACCCCGGAAGGGCUUUGGAUACUGCCUGGCUAGAGUACGUGAGAGGUGAGCGGAAUUCCAGGUGUAGCGGUGAAAUGCGUAGAUAUCUGGAGGAACACCGGUGGCGAAAGCGGCUCACUAGCACGAAACUGACGCUGAGGCUCGAAAGCGUGGGGAGCGAACGGGGGAUUAGAUACCCCGGUAGUCCACGCCGUAAACGUUGUGCACUAGGUGUAGGAGGUGUCGACCCCUUCUGUGCCCGCAGCUAACGCAUUAAGUGCACCGCCUGGGGAGUACGCGCGCAAGCGUG